UACGGAGGGUGCAAGCGUUAUCCGGAAUCACUGGGUUUAAAGGGUGCGUAGGCGGCCUGGUAAGUCAGAGGUGAAAUCCUACAGCUUAACUGUAGAACUGUCUUUGAAACGGUCAGGCUCGAAUAGAGUUGAGGUUAGCGGAAUGUGACAUGUAGCGGUGAAAUGCAUAGAUAUGUCAUAGAACACCAAUUGCGAAGGCAGCUAACUGGGCUUUUAUUGACGCUGAGGCACGAAAGCGUGGGGAGCGAACAGG
This 253-nucleotide ribosomal RNA is filed under the name uncultured bacterium. Its description in RNAcentral is "partial 16S ribosomal RNA". It matches the Rfam family "Bacterial small subunit ribosomal RNA", at positions 524 to 776 of the family's 1533-position model. The record is from RNAcentral.